UACGUAGGGUGCAAGCGUUAAUCGGAAUUACUGGGCGUAAAGCGUGCGCAGGCGGUUAUGCAAGACAGAUGUGAAAUCCCCGGGCUUAACCUGGGAACUGCAUUUGUGACUGCAUAGCUUGAGUGCGGCAGAGGGGGAUGGAAUUCCGCGUGUAGCAGUGAAAUGCGUAGAUAUGCGGAGGAACACCGAUGGCGAAGGCAAUCCCCUGGGCCUGCACUGACGCUCAUGCACGAAAGCGUGGGGAGCAAACAGG
This 253-nucleotide ribosomal RNA is filed under the name uncultured bacterium. RNAcentral's name for it is "partial 16S ribosomal RNA". It matches the Rfam family "Bacterial small subunit ribosomal RNA", at positions 524 to 776 of the family's 1533-position model. The record is from RNAcentral.